Molecule: unclassified non-coding RNA, 144 nt
Filed under: Ascomycota sp.
Lineage: Eukaryota; Fungi; Ascomycota
Also listed under: 2 other names
Description: partial internal transcribed spacer 2
Source: RNAcentral
UGACCAAUCAAGCUCUGCUUGGCCUUGGGGCCCGCUAUACCGGCGGCCCUUAAAAUCAGUGGCGGUGCCGUCUGGCUCUAAGCGUAGUAAUACUUCUCGCUACAGGGUCCAGUCGUCCACCCGCCAGAACCCCCAACUUUUUUA